Prunus mume (Japanese apricot) is the source of this 847-nucleotide non-coding RNA. Lineage: Eukaryota; Viridiplantae; Streptophyta; Magnoliopsida; Rosales; Rosaceae. The record is from RefSeq and is a predicted model, not a curated record.
UUCAGAUUUCUUUUUUCCUGGCUGGUCUGGCAUCUCUGCAAAUACUCAGAAAUGGAGAUCAUCCCUCCUGUUGGUGAUAUGAGAUACGAAUCAUUCUUGGACAAAUCAAAGUACGACAUAGCCUCUUCUUCAGGGUUGGUGCUGGGAAGGUCAUUGUUCAUCAGCUCGGAGCCACUCCUUGGUUUCCAUAAAUUAGGGUGAACCAUGGGAGUUAAUGGCAUUCAAUCAAUAUCAUCAUAAUCAAAUGACCAAUUAUCGCUUCGGUUUCAAUUUUGAAAGGAAAGAGACGAGAAAUCUAAGUUACAGCAAGAUUUACUUUUUUUUUUUUCUCCUCCUGUUUUUUCGAUGGCAUCUUCAGCAGUAGCACCUUUCUACAAGGAGAUCCGUUUCUUGGAAUUUUCAGGACUCUUGAUCUUUUAUCUCCUCUGUUGAUUACGUUGAUGGUACGUUUUCUCUAUGCGAAGGAGAAUUUGCAGGGCUUACAAAAACACCACAGCACAAUGAUGUGCCAUGCUCAGUUUUGUUUUGGCGAGGAUGGUAGAGUGCCCAUUUGAAAAGUUUGACACAACACAGGUUCCUUAUGCAACAACACAUAUAAAAGUGAAUCAGGAGAUGAUUGCAGGUCAAAGCCAAAAAGGUGGCAGGCCUCUCGUCUCUGUUUUACAUUUAUGAUGUCGCAACUACUGGAAGGUCAUUCCUUAAGGAAAACCUCCUAGAGAUAGUGUGACCACUUGAAGAAUACUUAGCUUGCAGAAUUUUCAAAAAGAACCUUAUCUUUCUUGAAAUCAAUUGUAAAAUAUGGAGGCUCUUUUUGAGCAUUUGCAAUGCAAGGCAAAGUAAAAAUUGA